RNAcentral lists this non-coding RNA (74 nucleotides) under Blautia obeum. RNAcentral describes it as "Ruminococcus obeum Glycine sequence". It matches the Rfam family "Glycine riboswitch aptamer". From Rfam's summary of the family: This family represents the bacterial glycine riboswitch. Lineage: Bacteria; Bacillati; Bacillota; Clostridia; Lachnospirales; Lachnospiraceae. The record is from Rfam by way of RNAcentral.
GUGAAGUUUGCAGGAAAGAGGUAUAAGCCCACCGAAGGAGUAAAACUCUCAGGUAUCCGUAUUGUCGGACAGAA